RNAcentral lists this ribosomal RNA (279 nucleotides) under uncultured bacterium. RNAcentral's name for it is "partial 16S ribosomal RNA". It matches the Rfam family "Bacterial small subunit ribosomal RNA", at positions 506 to 784 of the family's 1533-position model. The record is from RNAcentral.
UGCCAGCCGCCGCGGUAAUACGGAGGAUCCAAGCGUUAUCCGGAAUCAUUGGGUUUAAAGGGUCCGUAGGUGGUUUACUAAGUCAGAGGUGAAAUCCUAUCGCUUAACGAUAGAACUGCCUUUGAUACUGAUAGACUUGAGUUAUUGUGAAGUAGUUAGAAUGUGUAGUGUAGCGGUGAAAUGCAUAGAUAUUACACAGAAUACCAAUUGCGAAGGCAGAUUACUAACAAUAUACUGACACUGAGGGACGAAAGCGUGGGUAGCGAACAGGAUUAGAUA